CCACCUGAAAAGUUGUCUCAACCUUCGUUUUGAAGAGGUGAGCAAAGUUUCAGGUGUGU
Molecule: microRNA precursor, 59 nt
Filed under: Limulus polyphemus (Atlantic horseshoe crab)
Lineage: Eukaryota; Metazoa; Arthropoda; Merostomata; Xiphosura; Limulidae
Description: Lpo-Mir-87-P2f_pre stem-loop
Source: RNAcentral